UGAAAUCCCAGAGCUUAACUCUGGAACUGCCAUCAAAACUUUUUAGCUAGAGUAUGAUAGAGGAAAGCAGAAUUUCUAGUGUAGAGGUGAAAUUCGUAGAUAUUAGAAAGAAUACCAAUUGCGAAGGCAGCUUUCUGGAUCAUUACUGACACUGAGGAACGAAAGCAUGGGUAGCGAAGAGGAUUAGAUACCCUCGUAGUCCAUGCCGUAAACGAUGUGUGUUAGACGUUGGAAAUUUAUUUUCAGUGUCGCAGCGAAAGCGAUAAACACACCGCCUGGGGAGUACGACCGCAAGGUUAAAACUCAAAUGAAUUGACGGGGACCCGCACAAGUAGUGGAGCAUGUGGUUUAAUUCGAAGGUACGCGCAGAACCUUACCAACACUUGACAUGUUCGUCGCGACUCUAAGAGAUUAGAGUUUUCGGUUCGGCCGGACGAAACACAGGUGCUGCAUGGCUGUCGUCAGCUCGUGUCGUGAGAUGUUGGGUUAAGUCCCGCAACGAGCGCAACCCUCACUUUUAGUUGCCAUCAUUUAGUUGGGCACUCUGAAAGAACUGCCAGUGAUAAGCUGGAGGAAGGUGGGGAUGACGUCAAGUCCUCAUGGCCCUUACGUGUUGGGCUACACACGUGCUACAAUGGCAUCUACAAUAGGAAGCAAGAUGGCGACAUCAAGCAAAUCCUAAAAAGAUGCCUCAGUUCGGAUUGCACUCUGCAACUCGAGUGCAUGAAGCUGGAAUUACUAGUAAUCGCGGAUCAGCGCGCCGCGGUGAAUAUGUUCCCGGGUCUUGUACACACCGCCCGUCACACCAUGGGAGUUGGUUCUACCUUAAGGCAAAGCUUAAAACCUUUGACCACGGUAUAGUCAGCGACUGGGGUGAAGUCGUAACAAGGUAAC
This 894-nucleotide ribosomal RNA is filed under the name uncultured Alphaproteobacteria bacterium. RNAcentral describes it as "bacterial SSU rRNA". It matches the Rfam family "Bacterial small subunit ribosomal RNA", at positions 595 to 1500 of the family's 1533-position model. Lineage: Bacteria; Pseudomonadati; Pseudomonadota; Alphaproteobacteria. The record is from RNAcentral.